RNAcentral lists this ribosomal RNA (253 nucleotides) under uncultured bacterium. Its description in RNAcentral is "partial 16S ribosomal RNA". It matches the Rfam family "Bacterial small subunit ribosomal RNA", at positions 524 to 776 of the family's 1533-position model. The record is from RNAcentral.
UACGUAUGGUGCAAGCGUUAUCCGGAUUUACUGGGUGUAGAGGGAGCGCAGGCGGCGCGUUAAGCCUGGUGUGAAAGCCCGCGGCCCAACCGCGGGACUGCAUUGGGAACUGGCGCGCUGGAGUGCCGGAGGGGUAGGCGGAAUUCCUAGUGUAGCGGUGAAAUGCGUAGAUAUUAGGAGGAACACCAGUGGCGAAGGCGGCCUACUGGACGGUGACUGACGCUGAGGCUCGAAAGCGUGGGGAGCAAACAGG